AUCACUUCUCCGCUAUUUGGCUAAGAUCAAAUGUAGUAAAUGUUCUUAUCAGUUUAAUAUCUGAUACGUCCUCUAUCUGAGGACAAUAUAUUAAAUAGAUUUUUGGAGCUCGGGGUUGGAAUAGAAACUUGCUCCAUCCACUCCACACAUUGACCUGGUAUUGCAGUACCUCUAGGAACGGUACACGCCCU
Molecule: small nuclear RNA, 191 nt
Filed under: Jaculus jaculus (lesser Egyptian jerboa)
Lineage: Eukaryota; Metazoa; Chordata; Mammalia; Rodentia; Dipodidae
Description: U2 spliceosomal RNA (ENSJJAG00000005189.1)
Rfam family: U2 spliceosomal RNA
About the family: U2 is a small nuclear RNA (snRNA) component of the spliceosome (involved in pre-mRNA splicing). Complementary binding between U2 snRNA (in an area lying towards the 5' end but 3' to hairpin I) and the branchpoint sequence (BPS) of the intron results the bulging out of an unpaired adenosine, on the BPS, which initiates a nucleophilic attack at the intronic 5' splice site, thus starting the first of two transesterification reactions that mediate splicing.
Source: Rfam by way of RNAcentral